Rhododendron vialii is the source of this 2207-nucleotide long non-coding RNA. RefSeq lists it as uncharacterized. The transcript has 3 exons. Lineage: Eukaryota; Viridiplantae; Streptophyta; Magnoliopsida; Ericales; Ericaceae. The record is from RefSeq and is a predicted model, not a curated record.
UACAACUUUUUGUGCUUCCAUUGUCUUGUUGUAUUGUUAUUUAAGUUGUUCUUACCUGCUCUCUUCUUUAUUUUUUAAAUUAGUGUGCGUAACGUGAAAGAUUGGAUCUCUUGCUUAGUCUCUCUUUUGAGAGAGAAUACUAUAAAACUGUUAUGAUGCCUCAUUUAAUGUUGGUAAGAGAAUAUUGAUUAUUGGCUAAUACUAUUCUGUUCAAUCUCUGUAUGUGUUUGCAGAUAGUUGCAAGGUUUUUGUGGCAAGCUACAAUUAUUCAACUCUUGCAUGUAAGUUGUCAAAUGUGAAAUCUCUCUCCCAUGCUCCAUGUCAUUAUCAUUCAGUGCUAUUCCACCUCGAAUGGCAAUUGAUGUUCAUUAGGCUGCCAGAACUCUUAGCGUGCAAAAGUAGCAGGCUGCAUUUACUCCAGAUGGCUAUCUUGAUAUAGGCAGGACACUUAGUCAAAUACAAUGCGGGGUAAGAUUUCAUCUCCAUGGUUUCAACUACCAUCAAAAUAUUACCCAAGCAUGUAAGAUGCUUCACGUGGUAAGAUGCUUCUUGGAAUUAAUUGAUGUGCACUAAUUCUUUGUCUGCGUGAUCUUUGAUCAGUCCUCUUUCUUUUUUGUUUGAUGGCCGAGUAGUGUAUGAAUAUGGUAGAAUAAUUUUGCUCAAAACGGUAGAGUGCAUAUUGGCCAGUAACCAAAUAGCUAACAUUGCUGACUUGCAAGUUUGAGUUUACCAAAAGAUCGCAGAUCCAGAAUUUCUUCUUACAGCCUUUCUUAAUCAAUUAGGCUGAACUUCAUGCACCCAUACUCCUUUUUUUCAGUGUCAGAUAUUCCAAGUUUGGGGGUGGAUAGUCCUGUCAAUUGUUCAUUCACAUCUUGUGUAUCAUAGUCCUUGUGUACACUAUAAAAUGCAAUCCAGUUCCCAGCUAACUGGGGUUGGAUGCUGCCAUGAUAACAAAAUGAACUUUACCUGGCCAUUCACUAUAUGAUAUUCCAAAUAUGCACUAAAGGCAUAAAAAUAAACUAAUUGGUUUUGCUUUGCAAAUGAAUAAUGCGAUAUGCCACUUGGUGCUUCUUAUUCCUUCCACCAAAUAUUACCAUUUGUUUUGGGGAUUGACGCGUCAUAAUGUAAUCGUGGCAAAAUUAAGGGAUCCAUCCUUCAAUCAGAGGUGAAAUUUGGGAGUUUCUACUUGGUUGUUUUGAUCCCAAGAGCAUAUUUGAUGAAUGAGAGCAAAUACGGCAACAUCGAAGGUAGUUGGCUUUCCUCGCUUCACUUUCAUGCAUUAAUUCCUGCUAGAUAUUAUUAGGAACAUCAUUCGUCACUAUCAGGAUUUUGGGUCAUUUUAGGCUUUGUUAGAUUUCAAAAGAAUAUGCCGACCCUCCAAACUUUUAAUAUAGGCAGAAUAUUAACUUCUAUCCUAGGAUUAGGUCCUUUGAGCGUUGGAGAUGAUGUCUGUACAGGGUCAUUCGUGGAUGAAUGAUUAGGUCAGUUUGGUGGUCAGUUCAGUUCCAGGAAAAUGGUAAAUUUUAUAGAUCCACUGGGAAAUUAGGUUGUUCGUUAAUUUUUACCGUGUUUGCGCUAUGCGUCUCUCCUUAUUGUGUUUUGCCGAGAUUUAUGUUUAUAUUAUUCGCUUUCAUUUUCCGUAGUAAUAAAUAUGAUGAAACCUCCCCAAAUUGUUUUGUGAUUGAUUCCCUCUUUUCCAUGUCCCUGCCAAAGUUGUUAUCUGUGCGUUGUUUCACGGUUGAGAUAAGAUUUGGCAUCAUUCUUGUGCAUGUAGAGGCACAUCCAUUUGUUAUUUUAUAGAUUGCUCAUGCAGGCAAGGUAGUUUGUCUUGCUGUCGUUUCUACCAAUAGGAAUCAUGCGACAUAUAGGCAUUCACUAUUGUGUGGUCGUAGUAGGCUGCUAUCGGGUUUUGUUCCAUUUUUUCAAGAAACACCAGCUCCGCCUCAUAUGCUCGCUCUCUGAGGACCUUAUUGAUGUGAAAGGUGUUUUGUGUGGUUACCCCUGUUGCUCAUUAAUAGUGACUGUUGAUAUUGGGUUUCUUUUUGGUUUAGUAAAUGUGUGUUUUGGUGCUAUUGGUGUGAUUAAGUCCCAUAGGAAAUUUGGAAACUUGAAAGGAGUUUGUAUUAUGUAAUCUCACUAAAUGUUGUUCGAUUUAGCUUUGGUUUGAUUUUUGGUAGUGUUCUUGUGUGCGAAAUGGUGUUACAUGU